UACGAAGGGAGCUAGCGUUGUUCGGAAUCACUGGGCGUAAAGCGCACGUAGGCGGGUUUGUCAGUCAGGGGUGAAAUCCCGGGGCUCAACCUCGGAACUGCCCUUGAUACAGCAAGCCUUAGAGUCCGGAAGAGGUGGGUGGAAUUCCUAGUGUAGAGGUGAAAUUCGUAGAUAUUAGGAAGAACACCAGUGGCGAAGGCGGCCCACUGGUCCGGCACUGACGCUGAGGUGCGAAAGCGUGGGGAGCAAACAGG
This 254-nucleotide ribosomal RNA is filed under the name uncultured bacterium. RNAcentral describes it as "partial 16S ribosomal RNA". It matches the Rfam family "Bacterial small subunit ribosomal RNA", at positions 524 to 776 of the family's 1533-position model. The record is from RNAcentral.